ACUGGGCUUGGUGGCGCAUGCCUGUAAUCCCAGUGACUUGGGAGGUUGAGGCAGGGGGAUCACCAGUUCAAGGCCAGUAUGGGCAAUAUAGCAAGACCCUGCCUCAA
RNAcentral lists this small RNA (107 nucleotides) under Marmota monax (woodchuck). The record is from RNAcentral. Lineage: Eukaryota; Metazoa; Chordata; Mammalia; Rodentia; Sciuridae.